RNAcentral lists this ribosomal RNA (228 nucleotides) under uncultured bacterium. RNAcentral's name for it is "partial 16S ribosomal RNA". It matches the Rfam family "Bacterial small subunit ribosomal RNA", at positions 524 to 739 of the family's 1533-position model. The record is from RNAcentral.
UACGAAGGGGGCGAGCGUUGUUCGGAAUUACUGGGCGUAAAGGGCGCGCAGGCGGCGUUCUGAAAGUCAGAUGUGAAAGCCCCGGGCUUAAACCUGGGAAUUGGCAUUUGACUACUCUGGAGCGUUGAGUGUGGGAGAGGAGAGUGGGAAGUUCCCAGUUGUAGAGGUGGAAAUUCGUAGAUAGUUGGGAAGAACACCGGUGGCGAAGGCGGCUCUCUGGACCCACAA